RNAcentral lists this ribosomal RNA (459 nucleotides) under uncultured bacterium. Its description in RNAcentral is "partial 16S ribosomal RNA". It matches the Rfam family "Bacterial small subunit ribosomal RNA", at positions 338 to 795 of the family's 1533-position model. The record is from RNAcentral.
CCUACGGGAGGCAGCAGUGAGGAAUAUUGGUCAAUGGUCGCGAGACUGAACCAGCCAAGUAGCGUGCAGGAUUACGGCCCUAUGGGUUGUAAACUGCUUUUAUGCGGGGACAAAAUGCGCCACGUGUGAUGUUUUGUAGGUACCGCAUGAAUAAGGCCUGGCUAAUCCCGUGCCAGCCGCCGCGGUAAUACGGAAGGUGCGGGCGUUAUCCGGAUUUAUUGGGUUUAAAGGGUGCGUAGGCGGAGCGUUAAGUCAGUGGUAAAAUUGAGGGGGUAAACCCCUUGCCGCCGUUGAAACUGGCGCUCUUGAGUGGGAGAGAAGUAUGCGGAAUGCGUGGUGUAGCGGUGAAAUGCAUAGAGAUCACGCAGAACGCCGAUUGCGAAGGCAGCAUGCCGGCGUCCGACUGACGCUGAAGCACGAAAGCGUGGGGAUCGAACAGGAUUAGAUACCCCUGUAGUC